Molecule: long non-coding RNA, 2100 nt
Organism: Triticum aestivum (bread wheat)
Lineage: Eukaryota; Viridiplantae; Streptophyta; Magnoliopsida; Poales; Poaceae
Exons: 7
Source: RefSeq, a predicted model, not a curated record
UUGACGUACGCUGCCAGCAAGUUACGGAGACCUAGGAGAUUUUCCUCUUAUAUAGUUCCGAUAACCUCGUGCAUCUCGCCUCCUAUCGCCGCGUCCGACGAGAGCUCGUCCCCCGCAUCCGCCGUCACGUGUUGCCGCCGUUGACGAACUACAUCCACACCGCAUCAUCCCCUACUUCCAUCUUCAUCGUAUGUGCAAGAUAGACGAACUGAAUGGAUAAAUUGUCCGCGCUGUUAAAAAAUGGUGCAAACUGAUGACCGCUCUAUCUGGCGCUCAACGCGCUAGACUCGCCGAAACAACGUUGCGGGGCAUGAUGCAGAUGCCAUCGAUUAAGAUGCAUACACUUUUGAUAAGGUACACGGUUGAGAUUUUUGAGCCCACCACGGGAAGAUUCAUUGUAGAAGAGGUGGUUGGUGAGGUGUCUCUCGGUGCCGUGGACGUUGAGUGCAUCUUCAACUUGGACAACCUAGGACUGUCGGCAUCAGACAUUCUCAGUGAAGAAGGUGAGGACAUAAAAGACCGGGUGCCGCCUCAAUUGUUGAGUAAGUCUACUGGUAAUAUCGUCAUCGAUGAUCUCAUUGCGGACAUCAUUAAGAAUAAAUCCGCCGACGACGAUUUCCUUCGGAAAGUAGUCCUUGUCCUCCUAGGAACAGUCCUUGCUCCCAUGUCGAGCAAGAUUGUCCCAAAACAGUACUAUGCAUUGGUGGACGAUGUGAAACGUAUUUCCAAGAUUAAUUGGAAUGCGUUCACCCUCGAUGUUCUCCUCGACCGCCUUCGCGUUGUGAGGAAAGGCAAACACACCUCCGUCAAUGGCCGAGGGGCAGUUUAGCACUCUUGCAGGUGCAACCUCUGGAAGGUGAUUGUGUUUUCAAUCCAAACUUGUGCAUUCAAUCUCUUAUGAGAAAUUGGACUGAAGCUGCAGCUAGUAGGAGAGAUCGUUUUGAUUAUGACAACGGUCGCGGCCGUGGUAACGCCAAGGUGGAAGAUAAUAUUACACAGGAAUAUAGGGUACAGGAGGCCAAAGUCCCACAAGAUGCUCCACAAAAGGCAAAACCCAAGCCCGCUAGUGUCACCGCAAGGAAGUCCAAGGCUGCGAUAUCCGCGGAUGAGAUGAUGAAGGCUAUACUGAAGCGAUGCAUGGAAUACAUACACAAAGAGAUGAGGCAAAUCCCUGAUCUAGUAGUAGAGAGAUUGUUGGAGAAGUUGAACAAAGAAGGUGUGAUGUACAAGCCCGUGGGUGUAGAGGCAUCCGGUAAAAAUGAUAUAGAUGAUGAUGAGGCUUCGUUUAAGAAUGGUCCGCAUGAAAAAAGGAAUUCAUGGAGAAGGAUGACAAUGUGUCUGACGCUUCUGAAGAUCCCAUCAUUGAUCUAACGUAGCCAGAGGAAGAUGUUGCGUACCAGAAAGCUGUAGAUGAGGAAAAAACACCAGCUAAGAAGAAUGUUGACAAUGGUGCUGCACCUACUAAGCCAAACGAUGAAAUUGGUGCAACACCGGACAACCCUUGGAUUGUUGGUAAUUCUUCUGAAGCAGGUUCAUCGGACAUAGACAUUAGUGCAACUUCUGUCACCAACUUCAUGGCUAAGGCAAAACCAACAAAGGCUGAAACAAACGGGAAGGAAGAGGACUUUACGCCCGGGAAGCAGAAGCAGACCCUUCGCAAGAAAUUUGAAUGCCCAUAUGCACUUGACAAGCCGAGCAGGCGUGCCACCCGUGGUACUCGACCAUCCGGUACUACUACCGUGAGUAGAGCUUUGUUUAAUGAGAACAAAGUGCCGGAGGUUGUGGCAGAUGAGUUAACGCCAGAACUAAUUGAUGCAGCUGUUUCAUUUGUGGAACUAACUUGCAAGAGCAAGAAGAACAUGAAAAAAAGAGUUUACUACAAUGCUAGUGGUAAUGCUCUGAGGUCUGAAAGGCUUCAACCGGUACUACAACAUAGAUGGCUGUCGGAUGAUGUAAGUGAGGGAGUCCUGGAUUAGGAGGUCCUCGGACAGCCGAACUAUAUACUUUGGCCGGACUGUUGGACUAUGAAGAUACAAGAUUAAAGACUUCGUCCCGUGUCCGGGUGGGACUCUCCUUUGCGUGGAAGGCAAGCUUGGCAAU